GCCUGAGUAGCUCAGUUGGUUGGGCGUCUGACUGCAGCUCAGGUCAUGAUCUCACAGGGUUCAAGCCCCACAUCAGGCU
Molecule: transfer RNA, 79 nt
Filed under: Felis catus (domestic cat)
Lineage: Eukaryota; Metazoa; Chordata; Mammalia; Carnivora; Felidae
Rfam family: tRNA
About the family: Transfer RNA (tRNA) molecules are approximately 80 nucleotides in length. Their secondary structure includes four short double-helical elements and three loops (D, anti-codon, and T loops). Further hydrogen bonds mediate the characteristic L-shaped molecular structure. tRNAs have two regions of fundamental functional importance: the anti-codon, which is responsible for specific mRNA codon recognition, and the 3' end, to which the tRNAs corresponding amino acid is attached (by aminoacyl-tRNA synthetases). tRNAs cope with the degeneracy of the genetic code in two manners: having more than one tRNA (with a specific anti-codon) for a particular amino acid; and 'wobble' base-pairing, i.e. permitting non-standard base-pairing at the 3rd anti-codon position.
Source: Rfam by way of RNAcentral